GCGCGAGUGGUGUAGCUUGGCCGAUCACGCGGCCUCGCCAGGGCCGAGACGAGCGUUCGAAUCGUUCCUCGCGCA
This 75-nucleotide transfer RNA is filed under the name Halorientalis sp. IM1011. RNAcentral describes it as "tRNA-Gly". The record is from RNAcentral. Lineage: Archaea; Methanobacteriati; Methanobacteriota; Halobacteria; Halobacteriales; Haloarculaceae.